This is a long non-coding RNA of Xiphophorus couchianus (Monterrey platyfish), 269 nucleotides long. RefSeq lists it as uncharacterized. NCBI's taxonomy places the organism in Eukaryota, Metazoa, Chordata, Actinopteri, Cyprinodontiformes, Poeciliidae. The record is from RefSeq and is a predicted model, not a curated record. The transcript is spliced from 2 exons.
CUCUGCCAGCAACCCGCAUUAAAGGGUCCGACUCCCUUCUUCAUCUGAACACAACACAGAACACAUCAAGGGACUGAGGCUCCUCUGGUGGCGGUGUCUUGUUUUGUGUGUUUAUUUUAUUGGAGCACCUUUUUCUUUGUUUGCUACGGAGCCCCGUAAUUGUCUGUGUUUUGUAGUGUCUUGGGGGAUCCCUCUUUCUUCACUGGAUGUUGCUUCCUUCCCUCACGACUUUCCCCACUGGUAAGUCUCAGUUUCCGUUAAGAUUUAAA